GAUGAACGCUGGCGGCGUGCCUAAUACAUGCAAGUCGAGCGAACGGACGAGGAGCUUGCUGCUCUGAUGUUAGCGGCGGGCGGGUGAGUCACACGUGUAUCACCUCCCUAUAAGUCUGGGAUAACUUCGGGAAACCGGCUCUAAUACCAGAUGAUCUUUUGCACCGCGUGGUUCAUUAGUGAAUAACGGUCUUGCUGUCUCUUCUCGCUGGAUCCGGGCUGCAUUGGCUGGUUGUUAAGGUAACGGCUUACGAAGGGAACGAUGCGUAGCCGACGUGUGAGGGUGAUCGGCCACACGGGAACGUAGACAGGGUCAAGACGCCUACGAGAGGCAGCAGUAGGGUAUGUGACGCAAUGGGCGAAAGCAUGACGCAGCAGCGCCGAGUGAGAGAUGAAGGUCUUCGGAGCGUGAAACUCUGUUAUGAGGGAAGAACAGAUGUGUAAGGAACUGUGGACAUCUUGACGGUACCUGAUCAGAAAGCAACGGCUAACUACGUG
Molecule: ribosomal RNA, 497 nt
Filed under: uncultured bacterium
Lineage: Bacteria
Description: partial 16S ribosomal RNA
Rfam family: Bacterial small subunit ribosomal RNA
Source: RNAcentral